GAUGAACGCUGGCUACAGGCUUAACACAUGCAAGUCGAGGGGAAACGACGGGGAAGCUUGCUUCCCCGGGCGUCGACCGGCGCACGGGUGAGUAACGCGUAUCCAACCUGCCUCUGACUGAGGGAUAACCCGUCGAAAGUCGGCCUAAUACCUCAUGGCAUCGUCUGCGGGCAUCCAACGACGAUUAAAGAUUUCAUCGGUCAGGGAUGGGGAUGCGUCUGAUUAGCUUGUUGGCGGGGUAACGGCCCACCAAGGCUACGAUCAGUAGGGGUUCUGAGGGGAAGGUCCCCCACAUUGGAACUGAGACACGGUCCAAACUCCUACGGGAGGCAGCAGUGAGGAAUAUUGGUCAAUGGGCGGGAGCCUGAACCAGCCAAGUAGCGUGCAGGAUGACGGCCCUAUGGGUUGUAAACUGCUUUUAGGCGGGGAUAAAGUGAGGGACGUGUCCUUCAUUGCAGGUACCGCAUGAAUAAGGACCGGCUAAUUCCGUG
Molecule: ribosomal RNA, 491 nt
Filed under: uncultured bacterium
Lineage: Bacteria
Description: partial 16S ribosomal RNA
Rfam family: Bacterial small subunit ribosomal RNA
Source: RNAcentral